Long non-coding RNA from Aricia agestis (brown argus), 833 nucleotides. RefSeq lists it as uncharacterized. The record is from RefSeq and is a predicted model, not a curated record. The transcript has 2 exons. Lineage: Eukaryota; Metazoa; Arthropoda; Insecta; Lepidoptera; Lycaenidae.
GGUUGGCAACUGUCAAAGUGGCGCUAUAGUAGCUUUCACCUUGUAGUUGUCAAAGUGUAUGGAAUUAAAAGGGAAUUUUCGAUUAUUUUAAAUAAAUAACAUGCCUCAGAUGUGUGAAGUCCCGUUUUGUAAAGAAAUAGGUGCCCACUAUAAUUCCCAAAAGAUCCUAAUAUGGCUAAGAUGUGGCUGAAAGCUAUAAUAAGGAAAAACUUUAGGCCCGAAGUUAGGCCCCAUAAAAAUGUAAACAUUUCCAUGAUUCCGACUUCCAAAACAUAAGUAUUUAUCAGGUCUCAAGAAUCAACACAGAUACACAGAUACAGAUACUACAGAUACCCCGCCCAAAGAGCUACUCAUUCAUACUAGCUCAUACAAAAAUAAAAAUACUAUUAAAUUUUUAGUAGGUCCAACCCCAGGUGGAUAAUUGUUCUCAAGGGUACAGCGGAGCAACAAGUGACCGUCAAAAUAUGAUACAGUGAAGUCCUUUAAUAGAUAAUUAGUGUCAAGAAGGAGACUGUAUUAUAAUGGCAGACAGGGGUUUUAAUGUUCAAUUAAAUCAAAUAGGUCUUGAAUCUUUGCAAUAAAAAACAUAAUAUUUACUAUUAACAUACCUACUUUUUUAAAAGGCAAGUCACAAAUAGCAGGGGUUUUGCUAAAACAUGACCAGAAGCUUGCCAGGCAAUGUGUGCACAUUGAGAGAUUGAGAGGUUUAACAAAAACAUACAAAAUUUUACAAACUCUUUUUAUGUGCCUUUAGCAUCAGAAAUAUUUUUUAUUUGUUUUAUGUUAUAUAAGUUUAGGGAAUGUAUUGUUGAUAAUAAAAAGUACAAAAUCAA